RNAcentral lists this ribosomal RNA (500 nucleotides) under uncultured bacterium. RNAcentral's name for it is "partial 16S ribosomal RNA". It matches the Rfam family "Bacterial small subunit ribosomal RNA", at positions 30 to 523 of the family's 1533-position model. The record is from RNAcentral.
AUUGAACGCUGGCGGCAGGCUCAACACAUGCAAGUCGAGCGGGGGAAGGUAGCUUGCUACCGGACCUAGCGGCGGACGGGUGAGUAAUGCUUAGGAAUCUGCCUAUUAGUGGGGGACAACAUCUCGAAAGGGAUGCUAAUACCGCAUACGUCCUACGGGAGAAAGCAGGGGAUCUUCGGACCUUGCGCUAAUAGAUGAGCCUAAGUCGGAUUAGCUAGUUGGUGGGUAAAGGCCUACCAAGGCGACGAUCUGUAGCGGGUCUGAAAGGAUGAUCCGCCACACUGGGACUGAGACACGGCCCAGACUCCUACGGGAGGCAGCAGUGGGGAAUAUUGGACAAUGGGGGGAACCCUGAUCCAGCCAUGCCGCGCGUGUGAAGAAGGCCUUAUGGUUGUAAAGCACUUUAAGCGAGGAGGAGGCUACUCUAGUUAAUACCUAGGGAUAGUGGACGUUACUCGCAGAAUAAGCACCGGCUAACUCUGUGCCAGCCGCCGCAGUAA